UUUCCGUAGGUGAACCUGCGGAAGGAUCAUUACCGAGUGAGGGCCCUCUGGGUCCAACCUCCCACCCGUGUUUAUCGUACCUUGUUGCUUCGGCGGGCCCGCCUCACGGCCGCCGGGGGGCACCCGCCCCCGGGCCCGCGCCCGCCGAAGACACCAUUGAACGCUGUCUGAAGAUUGCAGUCUGAGCAUCUUAACUAAAUCAGUUAAAACUUUCAACAACGGAUCUCUUGGUUCCG
Molecule: unclassified non-coding RNA, 236 nt
Filed under: plant metagenome
Description: partial contains small subunit ribosomal RNA, internal transcribed spacer 1, and 5.8S ribosomal RNA
Source: RNAcentral